UCGGGAAUUUUGGGCAAUGGGCGAAAGCCUGACCCAGCAACGCCGCGUGAAGGAUGAAGUAUUUCGGUAUGUAAACUUCGAAAGAGUAGGAAGAAUAAAUGACGGUACUAUUUAUAAGGUCCGGCUAACUACGUGCCAGCAGCCGCGGUAAUACGUAGGGACCAAGCGUUGUUCGGAUUUACUGGGCGUAAAGGGCGCGUAGGCGGCAAUUCAAGUCAUCUGUGAAAUCUCCGGGCUUAACUCGGAACGGUCAGAUGAUACUGCUUUGCUAGAGUGCAGAAGGGGCAAUCGGAAUUCUUGGUGUAGCGGUGAAAUGCGUAGAUAUCAAGAGGAACACCUGAGGUGAAGACGGGUUGCUGGGCUGACACUGACGCUGAGGCGCGAAAGCCAGGGGAGCAAACGGGAUUAGAUACCCACGUAGUCCCUGAGCGGGCUGGCAAGGCGCAU
This 447-nucleotide ribosomal RNA is filed under the name uncultured bacterium. Its description in RNAcentral is "bacterial SSU rRNA". It matches the Rfam family "Bacterial small subunit ribosomal RNA", at positions 355 to 825 of the family's 1533-position model. The record is from RNAcentral.